CUGAGGGAGACUCGGGGCUGUGGAGCUGGUUACCGUGCUUCUCAUGAGAGAAGCCCUCGACACCAGGCUGCCUCCCCUUGAACCCGUGUCCCUGGCAAGAAGCCUUCCUGCAGGGCUGCCAGUGCUAAUUAGCAUUAACAGGGCUGCCUGCCAAACUCCCUCACUGCCUCAAAGUGUGGGACAGCUUCUCUGCUUAGAAGGAGGUUUUGGUCACGGCUGCAUUGGGGCCUCCAUAAAUCACUGGAUCUAAACUCCUUGGAGAAGCAGUUAAGACAAGUUUCCUAAUUUCGUCCUUUUCUGGCAGCUACAGCAUUGCACUUUCCCCCUUUCCUUAAAAAAAUAUCAACCAAUGCCUAAAGAACAGAGAGGGCUUUAUUGUUACUCGGCCACUGCUCCUGAUCCUUAUCAACAGCUCUCCGAGAAAGGCCCUCCAAAAUCUCACCGCAGCAUCUUCAUUUACUGAAAUACCCUUUCCCAGGAUUUUUGUGUCACGUCAGCUCAAAUGGAAACACUACUGAAGCUGCUUUGAUUCUGAGCUUGUUCCGCUGGGUCAGUGAUGAGGGCUUUCAAAGGAAAAGGCCUUGAAACAACGGGCACCCAACUUCAACCAGUUCUACAGACCUGGGGCCAAGAUGACAACCAGCCCCUCACCGCCUCCCUCCCGCUGCUCCUCGGCCAACCCGUGCCAGGGGCCGGAAAGGCUUCAGAGAGCGUCCUUUUCCAGCAGCGUGCACCUGUUUGUUUACUUGGGGGUCAUUCUGGGUUAACUCAGGAAAAGUUUACAAAGUUCUCAAGUUCUGUGCCAGGUGUGUGGGGCUGUCGGUCCUGCCCAGCUCAUGAGGACAAGCAAGACGAUGCCGCCACUGGGCAAGCUCACCACUGCCCCAGACCCCUGCCCACUGGCAUUGCUCACCCACUAGGGGUGAUAAGGGCAGGUGGGGGGCAUCUUAAAAGGAGAAGGUAACUGGAAACCCAAAGUGGCCUCAACCAGGAAAGAAGAGCCAGAUGAGUCUUGACUGAAUGCUUUCCAAGGGUGAGGUCAUUCAUUCCUGCAGAGAAGCCCAGGAGCCCAGUACUGUUUUACAGAGGAAAUGCCCCCUAGCCUUGGAGAAGCUUGGCCCUACACGGCGGGAAUGGUAUAACCUGGAUUCUAAACUCCUUCUGAUUCUAGACCAUUCUCUUUCCUCAACACCAAGUGCUCUCAGAUAUUUUUAAAAGUGUUAGAAAACAUAGACUUUCUCUUUUCCAUAUAUUUUAUAGGAAAAACCAUCUUUGGAGCUGGGAAAGGGCCGGAGGUUGUCUGGGAAAAUAAGCUUGGACACUGAAAGCCAUGUGAACUUUGACCUGGGAUCCUAACCUCUGCUGCGUGAGCCGCUCUGCAGGCGGCCAAUCAGAAAGCAGAUCCCAUGAAAUUGCAUGACUGUCAGAACCAAAACCUGGGAUGUCCUCGUUACUGAGGAUGUUAUAACCUAAAUCAGUGGGUCUCAACCAAGAGCCACUCUGGCCCCCAGGGUGCAUUUGGCAACGUCUGGAGAUGUUUUUGGUAGUUGCCGUUGGUGGUGGAGGUCACAGGCCGAGCAAGGCUGCUGAACUCUUCACAGUGCACAGGACAGCCCCACCACAAAGAAUGAGCUGGCUCAAAAUGUCACUAGAGCAAUUCCUUUUUUUGCCUGCUGGUCAAUGGCCUGAAGCGCCCCAAAUGAUGGCCGCAAUUCCAUCACAGCGCCCCAGGAGGAAGCAGGACCUGUAAGCCAGUGGAGCCUAAAGGUUCAGCUUCCACAGGCAGCACCAGUUACCUGGGGGUGAGGGACUACUGCUCCAGACACAGCCCUGGAUUUCAGCUGACGUCAUAGCCUGUGUGUGGCAGCCUGGGAGACUGAGCCCUGCCGUGUUUCUUGUCCCUUUAUAAAACUCUUACAGUCUCCAGCUUGACUGCCAUCUGUUUCUUUCUGGGACUCUGACUG
Molecule: long non-coding RNA, 1964 nt
Filed under: Sus scrofa (pig)
Lineage: Eukaryota; Metazoa; Chordata; Mammalia; Artiodactyla; Suidae
Description: lncRNA (ENSSSCG00040052860.1)
Source: RNAcentral